UACGUAGGGUCCGAGCGUUGUCCGGAAUUAUUGGGCGUAAAGAGCUCGUAGGCGGUUUGUCGCGUCUGCUGUGAAAUCCCGAGGCUCAACCUCGGGUCUGCAGUGGGUACGGGCAGACUGGAGUGCGGUAGGGGAGAAUGGAAUUCCUGGUGUAGCGGUGGAAUGCGCAGAUAUCAGGAGGAACACCGAUGGCGAAGGCAGGUCUCUGGGCAUUAACUGACGCUGAGGAGCGAAAGCAUGGGGAGCGAACAGG
This 253-nucleotide ribosomal RNA is filed under the name uncultured bacterium. RNAcentral's name for it is "partial 16S ribosomal RNA". It matches the Rfam family "Bacterial small subunit ribosomal RNA", at positions 524 to 776 of the family's 1533-position model. The record is from RNAcentral.